This 328-nucleotide unclassified non-coding RNA is filed under the name Hevea brasiliensis (rubber tree). The record is from RNAcentral. Lineage: Eukaryota; Viridiplantae; Streptophyta; Magnoliopsida; Malpighiales; Euphorbiaceae.
UGGAGAAAUCAUGCCAUUGGUUCUACAACCUCCUGAAGCAAACAAGGCCAAGUUUGAGUCUCUUUUGUUGGCUCUCAAAAACAACAAGGAAUGGUUGGACCAAAUGGUCAUCAAACACAGCGCCCUUUUGCUCCGAGGAUAUGACGUGUCCAACGCUGAGGAAUUCAACGACAUCGUCGAAGCUUUCGGGUGGGAGGACAUUCGAUACGUUGGCCCGGCUCCUCGAACCCAUGUUUAUAAGAGGAUUUGGACUGCCAAUGAAGGACCCCUCUCUGAAUUCAUUUACUAUCACCAUGAGAUGGUUUUGAUAAAGGAAUAUCCAAAGAAG